ACGAGGAGGUUCAGACCUUGCCCCGUGGACGGGGCGGAUCCUGCUGGCGGCACAGCCCGGUCCUGGCAGCUCCCUGCAGUCUCCUCCGAGGAGCCCAUGGCCUCCUGUCUCGAGGCACGGCUAGCGGCUGACCUUGACCAUGGGCAAAUGCCUCGUAGUCUGACUAAACUGCACCCAGAAAACAGGAUCAACUCAGAAGACUACUCGCAGCUACCCUUAUUCCGCUUCUGCUCUCGAAUGCCGGGAGCACACAGUGCCAGGGCCGCCCAGCCCAGGGCGCUCUCCGGCUCAGCCUCGUGGGCCAGAUGACGUCCAUGGAAGGCUGAGCAGGAAGCGUGCCAACGUGCAGCUUCCGCCCAUGCUCCUCAAACUUAACUGAACCUGCCACAAUUCCUCAGAACACAGGUUUUGCUUUCUAAGAAGCUCAAUAGCCCUCCACCUGCGAAGCAGUAGAGACCUCAGAGGCUCCACCAGACCCCUGAUCGCAUCAUCAUGCCCUCAGCUCAGGAAACUUCGAGUAGCUCAAGCUGUGGAGGCUAAUUUAAAUGCCACCUUCUGGCCAGGGACCUGUCUGUUCCUGGUAAGGAAGCUCCGUGGACCCCAAGAGCACUGGCAGGACGUGGGGGAGACCCAGACUUGUGCACACGCUCCU
Molecule: non-coding RNA, 652 nt
Organism: Callorhinus ursinus (northern fur seal)
Lineage: Eukaryota; Metazoa; Chordata; Mammalia; Carnivora; Otariidae
Source: RefSeq, a predicted model, not a curated record